CCCCCCUUCCCUAACAAGCAAAGUUGGUUGUGAUAACUCUGUAUAGGCCAAGGAGGCUAUGGUUCUGCCAUCUGAUAGAGCUGAAACUGAAUUCACCAUUACAGCUAUCACCCAACAGCUUUCCAAAGCACUCUUCUCCACCCAAAUAGUCUUCAGUUGAGAAGCCUGGUUAUUGAAAACCUGUCUUCUGAGGUCAUCAGGACUUUGCUCGUGUCCAGGAGAGUCUCCAGGAUAAAAGCCUGUUCCAUCGGGACCAAGUUUAGCCUUUGGUGCCAGGAGAGCAAUGCUAAUCCAAGAGAUUCUGGAACUAGAUCUACCUUUGAAUUUUUCUAAGAAUAGAUGGAUUAAGGUUCUCAGCCCCACACCAUAGCACAACAGGUAUCAGCCAUUAGAAGAGUUCUCUCUCUCUCUGGAACAAAAUCCCCAGGUAGUCAGAUUUCUCAGAGCAGUCAGCCUGGCCAGACCAGUGGUUAGACCAGUCUUUCCUAAAUGGGACAUACUGCAGGUGUCGAAGACCCUAACCACUCACCCUUUUGAGCCUCUCUAUAUCAGCCUUGUAUAUCUCCAUCAAAACCUGUUUUCUGGUUGCCAUCAUAUCUGGUAGUCAUGUUUCAGAGCUAUCUGUAUAGGAAUCCUAUUAUAUGUUCCAUGAGGACAAGGUGAUACUGAAAACACCAGAGUCUUUUCUCCCCUGGGUUCUUUUUUCCCUAUCUUGGAAGAGAUUAUCCUUCCUUCUCCCUAAAGCCACAGCACCUGAUUGAGAAGCUGUGGCACACUUUAGAUGUCAGAAGAGCACUGAAAAAUCUCUCACCCUCACAGAAUCCAUGCAGAGGUAAGGUGUUCUGUGUGUCUCCUUUCACUCAAAAUGUUAAGAGCUCAGAGUCUCCAGACUAGAUGGGUCAGAUUGUGCAUUAUUGAGGCCUUACAAAGUGUCUGGCACUCCUGUUCCAGAAGAAAUCAGGGCACAGUUCGUGAGAUCCAUGGCUACCCCAAGGGCCAAAUGAGCAUGUACUUCCACCGUAGAGAUAUGCAGAGCACCCACGUUGUCAUGGGUUAACACCUUUAUCAAACACUACAAAGUGGAUUUUCUGUCCUCCACAGAAGCCGUCUCCGGUGGUGGUCCUGUAAUGACCUUGCCUUUUGGACAAUUCUCAAUGCGGUGGGGAGUCUGUCUUUCUUUCAGUUUGCCUUUUCUUGUUCCUUAUUAUUCCUGUUCCUUGGUGACACUGGACUGCAGAAUGGAAAAUUUCGUAUUUGAUGAUUUCCUUUCUGCUAACAGUAUCUCCCACAAUUUUACUCACCCAAGAUGGCUUUCUGUCAAGAGUCAAUAUUUUAUUUGGUGUAUUUACCCUGCAGGGAGUUGACCUGGCAUAUGUGGUUAAUGAAUUGGACAUUAAUGUUAGUUAUACUUUUUCUCUUGAGUUUUUCACCCAGCUUUGGAAUGACUGACUUGUUGGCAAGUGGGAGAAGAGUGGGAAUGGGCAUGGUAUACACAAGCCACACUGCAGCUUUGAACCACCUCCCGAAGCUGCAGAUAGGAAGAGCACAGCCCACACAUAGCAGAAUUGUGGGAGAUGUUUCUAGCAGAAACGGAAUUACCAGGUAAGGAAGUUUCUGUUCUGCCAAUUGUAAAUGCUGGUGCUGCUCCACCUGUGGUAGCAAUGGUGGGUGUGUUAGUGUAGGCAGGGCUUUAGGCUGCCACUAGGAUGUUAAGCACUGUCAUAAAUUGUUUCAGAGCAAGUCUAAACACCAUCGUGGUAAAAUACUAGUGAUAACCAACACUUUGUUUAUGCAGGUACUUCCAUCAUUGUCACUGCUGGUUGAGGUGAAUCGAUGUUAGCAAUGGAGGGAAAACUCUAGUAUAGACAAGGCUUAAAGCACAAGUCAGUCCCAAGUCCCUUAAGGCAAGUAGAAGAAUAAGAUGAAACAUUCAGGUUCUGUCUAUAUGUACAGCAGUGCAGACUAAAGCACUCAAGUGAAGAUGCUACUAAGCCAAUGGGAGAGCUUCUCCUGUUGGUGUAGUUGUACUGCCGCUUACAGAGGUGGAUUAUCUGUCCACGGACUAGCGCUGUCUACACUGGGGGAUAGGUUGUUAUAACUACAUCACUCAGGAGUUGUGGAUUUUUCACACCCCUGUGUGACACAGUUAUACCAAUGUAAGUUUGUGGGUUAGACCUGUCUUGCAUAGCACCUUAUGCCUGAGGAAUUUAGAGCACUUCACACAAACAUUAAGACCCUGAAAUGUUUUGUCCAUGGGGAAAUCUCUGUACACCACAGAAAUCAAUAUGGCUACAUGCAGGUACAGCUGUUCUCCAGCAAACAGUGAAUUGCAGGAUUUGGUCUUAUGUCUCUUUAAGUAGGAAAAUAGAUCAGCUAUAGAUAUGGUAAAAUAGCAACAAUAUUUCCUAAAACAACCAGUUAAGGGUAAACUUAGAUCAAGAUUAAAUCACCAAUAUUUUAUUACCAGGAUACACUAACUCUGUAGUGAACACAUGCAUGUCAGAGCAGAAGCCAGGUGGGGGGACAGCAAAGUAAUUAUUUAGCUGAGGACCCAGUUAAGCAGAUCAAAUAGGCAUUAAUCAAUCAGGCAAUUAAUUAGGAGCAGAUCAGUUAGUUAAGAUGAUUGAGGUGAAGAUUGAUGUUCUAAUUAAGUGGUCAUUGCUGAGAAGACAUAGGACAUUUUAAUGAGGUUGCUGCAAAUCCCCAGGUGAAGUACCAAGUAGAGGAUAGUGGCUCAGCCAGCAGAGGAGUGAAAGUUUGUGGAUGGGAUCAGUCCCUUGCUGCUGGUCCCCAUGCCUGCCCUGCUUAAUGAAGAGAGC
This is a long non-coding RNA of Dermochelys coriacea (leatherback sea turtle), 2819 nucleotides long. RefSeq lists it as uncharacterized. The transcript has 3 exons. The record is from RefSeq and is a predicted model, not a curated record. NCBI's taxonomy places the organism in Eukaryota, Metazoa, Chordata, Testudines, Dermochelyidae.